UCCGCUAUUUGUGACAUCUAUAUUCUAUUCUGCAUCCCAAACAAUAUAGUUUCUAUUAUUUAUUUAUUUAUUUAUAUAGAAAUGAGCAAGGGUGGAUGAACACUGCUUACUUGAUUGUACAAAUAGCAUGAAAAGUUGUAUGUUCGAAAUUGUAGAUCUUGUAAUUGGAUCUUCAUCUCAAUACGUGUUCUCGGUUUUCUAUAAGCAUGUGUACUGCCUUUUCCUUUUCCACUUACUGAACAUCCUUUUGUUCAUUAAGGAAUCCCAAUUCCCAUCACCUUCUUCUUCUAUCAGUACGUCUCUCCCUCCCCCUCUCUCUCGGUUACUUUCAUCUUCUCUAUUACUAAAUUUCUUUGCAAAAGUUCCUGAAUCCUCUUUGUUCCAAAUUAGCCUACGGUUGUGGAUCACAUCUUCGUAAGCUCUUCUUCGAUGUCCUACAGCCCAAAAUGUAAACUAUCUAUUUCUUGGACGGUAUUGCAGAGGGUGAGAGCUAAGCGAAAUUGAGGACCUGGAAGAGGGAAGAAAAGAAGAUAAGAAAAACAAGAAGUAGAGAAAUAAGGAUAAAACCAGAACUAUUCAACAAAUAAAGCCGAAAGAAAUGUAGCAAAGAAGUCUUGCUUUAAUCUUUUGGAAACAAGACUGUGGGAUCAUGAUACCAUCUACUUAAUCAACUCUUCCAUUGAUAAGCUGUUGCAGUCAAUUUGGAAUCUGCAGAAAAAACUGAUAAUGGCAUAGUAGCUCGGUGAGUUUUUAGAUCUCUUUUCCUGUAAGAUACAGUAGACUAAUAUCUCCCAAGGUGAUCUUAUUCUUCUCCCGACUUCUACUUUCAUUUAAAGCAAGCAAUUGUCCCACGGGAACUACUGUUAAGCACCGUGAACUCCAAGACUUAAACAUUAGCAUUUGAUAAACCCCUGGUGUCCUUUGUUCAUAUUAUAUUAUGGAAAGAACUAUUAGUGCCUAUGUCUCCAGGAUAUUAUAUGCAUCGUUGGUUUUCAGUAAAUAAAAAGAUCAAUGCAAAUUCUGUGUUUGAAGAAAUACUAUAGCUGUCUCUGGUUUGAUGUUGAUUCUAUAUGGUGGAACUGUCUCAAAGGCAAAGGGCUGAGCUUCUGUCUUUUCAUCUAAUCAUCCUAAAUCCUGAAGAGAAAUUUGUACAGGAGUUAAUGGCCUUGUAGAUUGAUCCAUUUACAUCUUCUCAGUGUCCAUAUUAAAUUAUCUAUUGUUUUAAUGGACAAUAUAGCUUACGUUAAUCAUGCAGUUUUACUUCCAUUUAAGCCAUGUGUUGUAGCAGCACCACCAAGUCUUCGGGCAAAUGAAAGAAAGUUGUCUAGACCGUACUGAGUUGAGCAAGAUAUGCAAUAUCAACCUGUAAGACAAAGCUACUUAAUAACAUAAUGCAGAAAGUGGGACAAGCCUGCAAACCCAAAAGCAUGGUAAAAAAAAGAUGGGAGUAACUGAGUCUCUCGAUUAGUUGUUCGAGAGGCACCGUCCUUGCUCUUUUUUUUUUGUUGCCUUUUUUGCACAUUUUGUAAAGAAAACAACAACAUUAUGCCCGUGCUGCAUAGAAAAAUCUUUUGACUAUAAUUAUUUAUUUUGAUUAUAAUACAAAGCGAUGUGUUUAUUA
Nicotiana attenuata is the source of this 1621-nucleotide long non-coding RNA. RefSeq lists it as uncharacterized. The transcript has 4 exons. The record is from RefSeq and is a predicted model, not a curated record. Lineage: Eukaryota; Viridiplantae; Streptophyta; Magnoliopsida; Solanales; Solanaceae.